This 319-nucleotide ribosomal RNA is filed under the name uncultured eukaryote. Its description in RNAcentral is "partial 18S ribosomal RNA". It matches the Rfam family "Eukaryotic small subunit ribosomal RNA", at positions 1470 to 1796 of the family's 1831-position model. The record is from RNAcentral.
CCCUUAGAUGUUCUGGGCUGCACGCGUGCUACAAUGGCGUUUCCAGCAAGUCUGCGAACCCGAGAGGGCCAGCGGAUCUUCGAAUUGGCGUCGUGAUCGGGACAGUCGAUUGCAAUUAUUUGACUCAAACGAGGAAUUCCUUGUAAUCGCGAUUCAUCAUACCGCGCUGAAUACGUCCCUGCCCUUUGUACACACCGCCCGUCGCUCCUACCGAUUGAGCGAUCCGGUAAAUGUUUUGGAUUGGUGCCGGGGCGGCUAGCUGCCGGUCGCUACGAAAUUUUGUGAACCUUAUCGCUUAGAGGAAGGAAAAGUCGUAACA